AAAGUGCGUUAUGCUUCAAGUUUAAGUGGUGUUUUCAAAAAUUCCCCAUACAAGGAAGAAUAUGACCAUAUCAUUGGCACUUCGGAGCAUGGACAAAUAAUUAAUUCUUCGGAGCUGACCUUACCUUCUUUUAGGCAUCUUCUGAUUGCAUUUGGUGGACUUGCUGGUUUGGAAGAAAGCAUUGAAGAAGAUACAAACUUGAAAGGUAAACAUGCGAAUGAUGUAUUCACAUCUUAUU
Long non-coding RNA from Panicum hallii, 238 nucleotides. RefSeq lists it as uncharacterized. The record is from RefSeq and is a predicted model, not a curated record. Lineage: Eukaryota; Viridiplantae; Streptophyta; Magnoliopsida; Poales; Poaceae. The transcript has 4 exons.